Oreochromis niloticus (Nile tilapia) is the source of this 4155-nucleotide long non-coding RNA. RefSeq lists it as uncharacterized. NCBI's taxonomy places the organism in Eukaryota, Metazoa, Chordata, Actinopteri, Cichliformes, Cichlidae. The record is from RefSeq and is a predicted model, not a curated record. The transcript is spliced from 2 exons.
CAACCAAGAGAGCCAAGGGGGAGGAGCCAAGGAUUCCAGAAUAUUUCCCAGACUUGAAACUUUACUGUUAAAAAAAAGAAGUCAGAUACAUUCUUCUAUGCUAUUGUCUGCAGUCAUCCAUUAUUAUGGUAGCAUCCCAAGUGCAGAUAUCAGGGAAGCCUCUGAUUAUGCAGAAGUAUAUCUUAUGUAUGUUCGAGUUAAUGAGGUAAUGAGUUGUAAUGUGUCCACAUGUGCACUACCAAAGAAAAUAUCGUGGUUAACAAUGUUUCUCCUCUGGAAAGUUUGGCCAAAAGAAGUCUAACUCCGCUGUCUUGGACUGGACUACAAAAAUAUUUCAUCUCAGGAUGGAAAAAUCAGUUUUUCCAGUUUUUGUUGUUUAGUGGUAUGAAAAACCUCCAAUUCACACAGUUACUUUACAUUAAGUAUUACUUACUUAGAUGACUUCAGACGACGGACUGAGACAGGAUCGUCUCAGGAACUGUCCACAUAUAAUCCCCAAACCCAAAUGUAGAAUUUCCCUUCAGUGUUUCACUGCUACAACAAAAAAGCAUUUCAUUUUUGCAAUUUAACCUUUUUUCAUUUAAGCGCUACGUGUAAAUGACUCGAGCAGACUGAGUGACUUCAAACCGUGUCUGAUGGUUCAGACAGGAAAUCAAUCCAUGUUGAGCAGGAGCUGUUUCAUUCGAUCAAUGAUUCAGCUGACAAAUACUGCACGUCUCCUCCGCUCGCACUCAUCAGCACAGAAUCCUCUUUUCUCCACAGUUCUGCAUGAAAAGUUUGCUUCUUAACUUCUCGUGUUAUUAGAUUUGACUAGCUCAUUUUUCAUCUUGACAGCUUCAUUAAAGCACCCUGAAAAGACUGAAAAUAUUUGUGUGUGUGUGUGUGUGUGUGUGUGUGAUCACAAAGUUUCCCUCAUAUCUGUGCGUCCCCAGCUCUAUUUCAAAAGCAGUUUUUACCUUCUUCCCAUCUCCCCCUCUUUUAACAUCUCCCUCCUUCACGCCUAUUGUCCCUCAUUUCUCCAUCAUCCAUCUGGUCCUUCGUCAUUACCCUUCAGUUUUAGUCCUUUUUCAAUAUUUUAUUCCCCCUUUUCUCCAACCUUACUGCUUAUUUUUUCCUCCUCCUCCAUCACUCUUUGUUUUUUCAUCCAAAAGAUGAAAAAAAGGAAAACUGUUUGUCUGCUGGAUGUCAGUUUGUCUCCAGCCUCUCCAAAUCUCUCCCUGCUCUCCUAUUGGCUGGCUGGACUAUCUGCUGUAUUGGUAUUGGCUGGUUCCAGCAGGUGAGGCAUAGUUGUGCCACUUAAUCAAUGCCCUGCAGUGGGGGAAGCAUGUGCCAGACACAGUGCAACAGCAGCAGCAGCAGCCAUCAGCGUUGGCAGCUCUCCACAAUGCUGAGCGUGGGGAUGGUGUGACCUUCAGACGGCCGGGACCAGUGGGAGAGACACACGUGCACGAGCGAACGUUCAGACUCUCACAAAGGAGCUGUGAGUGUGGCGAGCAGGCAUUACUUUGUGAAGGUCAAGAAGAAGCUCGGAUAACACACGCACACACAAAAUGAGGCCGCAAAGCCUGCAGAUGCAUGAAAGAGCUCUGAAAAACAUGCAUUUUAGCAACAAGAAAGACACUUGAGAACAAAACCAAGGACACCUGACCGCCGCCAUGAAGUGUUUUUACAUUUACAACCCAGCUCAUCUGAUCGAGACCAGGAGGGAAAAAACGUCCGGUUCGCUUCUAAUUCACGCUGGCACGUUAAAUCACUGAUGCACAAAGAGACGAUGUUGUCAGUACUCGUAGGCCAUAACUACAGGCUGCAAAUUUCUCACACAUUGCUAUGAAUUAUGGCAAGCAGGUAGAGAUGGAAUGAAAAUAUGGAGCCUCAUACAAAAAUGUUCUGGGGCAUAUCAAUGUCACAGAGACGAUACAAACAACAGGCCACAGUCAAAUGGAUCAAAAUAAACUCUCUGCCGUCGCAGCGAAUCACAGACUGCGGCUGCUCCAUUAUGUCUGAAAUCCUGCAAUAGGGAUUUUUCAUCAACCUCAUCGUGCAUUUGUGGGUGUUACGUGUCCUUACCGGAGAUUUCCUGUACUUUUUUUUUUUUUGCCAGAAAUCAGUCUCAGGAACAACCGCUGGACUCUGGAGGACCCACAGCCUGAAAGUGGGAAGUCCAGGCCUCGGGACACCAUCAUGACAGCUACAGGAAGACUAAUGAAUAGAAAGAUGCAGUCUUUGUCUUUCCCAAAGAUCCUUCAGUAGGCUCACUUCCACAUGGAUGUUGUUGACAGCCACUCCAUGAUCCUGGCUCUAGCUGGACUAAACUAACUGAGCUUGGGUCACUAAUGUAAAGAUAGAAGCCUUGCUCAAUUUAAAACAGGGCAAAACAAGAGUUUGGUGUGAAAAUGAAAGUAAGUCAGUUUUGUUCCAGGUAUCUUAAUUUCUUUUUCAAACAUUAGAAAUCAGAAUUAGCACAUAGAUAGCUGGAAGUUACAGGUUAGCUGCUGCACUCUCCUUCACGUGCGUGAAAUGCGUUUGGAAAUUAAAAAUGGUCACUGACGGUAGGAAGAUUAUAUUUUGAGGACAAGUCAGCCAGACUUGUGGAAGUUGAACUUUCAUCACAGAAACUCUGAAAUCAGUUUAUCAUGUCUGAUAUUACACUAUAGCGAGCUAAACUAAAAAGAGUUUCUUAAAGCUCUCAUAUGACAGAAGGAUCCAGUUACUGCUGCUAACAACACCUGAGAAAACUGUAGAUGUCAAAGCCUUCAGCGCAUGAUGGCUGGACGCCAGCAUUUCUACCUGUAUCGGGGCAUGUUAUAUCACAUUUUCCUCAUUGUUACUCACUCGUCAAAUUCCCCUUAAAUAGCAGCAAACAGGCCUCCUGCCUGUCCGGAUAAAUCGAGGUAUAGCUCUGGUUUCAUGUAAAAAUAUUUCAUUCUUUUUCCAACUUUACAAAUAUUCUACAUCCUCAGUGUGAAGUUUAUUACUCAGUCAGCUGAGCUUUUUUUUUUUUUUGCUGGAUGGUCUAUCGUAACGAAAGCCUCGACGCUUUUAUUCACACGUGGUUAAUACACAGUGUUUAGUAAAUGAGUUCUUUAAUAAACUCCCAAUAUGUAUCCUCACAAAUGUAGUUUUACACAACCACUCGGGACUAUUUAUAGCAGAGGAUGAACACAGACCUGACACCCCUGCUCUGGGAUUGUCUCAGUAUAAACUGUAGUCCCCACUACGUGGAUUGCAGAUUUAAAUAGAAAUGACCAAUAAUCCACUCAGUUCGAAGCAAUCCAGCCCCACUCUGACCUUGAUCUCUGGAGCUGUGAUGUGUGAUGUAGUAUAUGUGAUUAUAGAGUGGAUUAAAGUGAACCAGCUACAUGUGGAGCAAUAUUACUGCAAAGGACUAAAGUGCAGGUUUUUGUGAUAGAGAGUGUGACUCGGUAACUGCUAGAGCUCUAUACAGCUGCCACUUGCUCUUCUCCUUAUGCAACUCUUGGUAGGACUUAAUCUUUUUAUGAUCCAUAGAGCUGCUUUAUUUUUAAUCCUUUCAUAUUUACAGUUUAAGUUGCACUGCUGAAUGUUAGAAAGAGCACGUCAUCUAGACUGUGGGCUUUGGAAUACUGGUGACAACCCAGGCAGUAUGUUUCCACGGUAAGGAUGUGCAGGAAUAGUUAAGCUUGAGAGAAAACAAUUCCUCUCAUCCACUGAUGAGACAUCAUGUUACCAACAAACCAAAGGUUGUAAACCUCACGUGCUUAAUGAGAUAUGAUGUGUCUGUGGACAGUAUUAGAGCCAUGAUUCAAUUCUGUUUAGUUUUACUUACACAGCACCAAAUCACAACAACAAUCACCUGAAGGUGCUGUGUGCUGUAAGCUAGACCCUACAGUAACUGACAACUAGUUUUAGUUCUACAGCAGUUUGCACUGGAAACAGAUUUUAUACAGAAUACAGCAAAUACAAUGAAGAGCAGCUUGACCCGUGCAAUGUGAAACCACAGUCAGUAGAGCCUGUGCUGCUACUGCUAGCACUGCUAGUGUUAGCAACACCCUGCUAAGACGUCUGGCGAUGUGAUGACCAGCAAAUCAGGUUAAAUAUCAUCUGUAAAAUAUACUGUAGCUUUUGUGUUUGAGAGGAAUUUGAAUUUCAUCAGUAAUUAAAAUAUAAUUAAUAUGA